RNAcentral lists this transfer RNA (79 nucleotides) under Phycisphaerales bacterium. Its description in RNAcentral is "tRNA-OTHER". The record is from RNAcentral. Lineage: Bacteria; Pseudomonadati; Planctomycetota; Phycisphaerae; Phycisphaerales.
GGAGUUAGCCUGUGUUGCGAGCUGGUUUCGAAAACCAGUGUACCUUCGGGUACCGCGGGUUCGAAUCCCGCCCUCUCCG